Schistocerca serialis cubense is the source of this 1709-nucleotide long non-coding RNA. RefSeq lists it as uncharacterized. The record is from RefSeq and is a predicted model, not a curated record. Lineage: Eukaryota; Metazoa; Arthropoda; Insecta; Orthoptera; Acrididae. The transcript has 3 exons.
UCCAUUGCAGUACGCUAUUGAGAUAUUAAACAAAAACCUGUUUUCUUUGUUAUUUAGGUGACAUGUACCGAGUGCAAUACAUUUAGAUGCUCUCGGAGGCAAGAACUGAUACACCAUUUGGAGUGUGUUCACCAACGGAAAAUGGAGUGCAAAGAAAUGACAUUUAAUUCUGUGGAAGAUUUCUUUCUGUGGAAGGAACAGAUGCAAACUGAAGAAAAGGUUUCCUUCAUAAGACCAAGUGGAAAAAAGAAAUGUGAUUACUUUGUUUGUCACCGCUCUGUAUAUGCUGACAAAACAGCUUCAGGCAGAAGGUUAAACGAACCUUCAAUCAAAAUUGGUGGCACCUGCCCUGCCUGUUUGGUAGUCAAAAAUUUGUCGUCUAACGUGGUUAAUGUCAAGUUGUACAUGACACAGUCUCUCUGUGGGUAGCCUACAUCUGACCACAGCUGACAGGGCUAUGGUUGCUGAAUUAAUUGCACAAGGUGUUCCUGAUACUACAAUUUUGAAGAGAGUGAGAGGGAACAUUCAAGUUGGACUCUUCAGAAGAGUUCAUCUUUUAAGCAAACAAGAUAUUAGAAAUAUUAGGAAAGAAUACAAGCUGUGCUAUAGUGCUGCACAUCCAGAUGGUGCAACCAUUGUUGAGCUGUGAGUGAGACAACAAGAGCGCCUAGCGAAAGAUUCCCCGGUGAUUUAUUACAAAGCCCAAAGCACUGUGGAUAAUGUGAAACAAAUUAUCAGAAAGUGACUUUAUGAUAGUCCUUAUGACUGAGUACCAGCGGAAAAUGGUAAAAAAGUUCUGUGCAGGAAACGUUUUGAUAGACAGCACACAUGGCACUAACAGAUAUAUAUUUCAUCUGACCACACUGCUGACCAUGGAUGAAUUUGGUGCUGGAUGCCCAAUUGCUUAUUGCCUCAGUACACAUACUGACACAAGGUCCAAGCAAGUUUUCUUUGAGCAGAUUAAAAAAUAUGCUGGAAGCAUCAAAACAAAGGUACUCAUGCCUGAUGACUGUGACAACUACUACAGUGCCUGGAGUGUAGUUACGGGCCAUAGUGAACAUAGGUUAUUAUGUACCUGGUAUGGGGAUCGGGCAUGGAGACGGAAUCUAUGUGCAAAAGUAAAUGGGAAUGCAAUGCUGAAGAGUACUGUGUACAAAGCUCUGAAAACUUUGCACUUACAGAUAGAGAGAAGUUACCAGAGCCGCUGGAUGGCGUGUUAUUUCCAGAAAACUGAGAAAGAUAAAUGCUGGGGGUUAUGGAAUACUGACAGAAAUAAGAAAGAGAAGCAAUAUUCAAUGAAAUGCUUUCUCAGACACAAAAAUCACAAAUAUUGCAUUCUGAAUCUCCACUUCCUGAUUCAGAAUGCAUUCUGACCACCUCAUCAGUGGAAUCUUGCUGCUUCACUAUAUCUGAAUCACGAGAGUCUGUAGUUUGGGGCUCUUUCCUCCAUUCAGGCUCCUUUGAGGUUUUCUUUGCACUGAUCGUUUCUGGUAGAGAUGAUGCGAUUCGACGUCUUCUUGUUUUGUGUUAUAGGCGAUAUGUUGUAGAGACUCCCAGCAACUGGAACGGCAGACAACCCUGGCAGAAAGAAAACGGUUUGUGUUUAUUUGUGAAGUGCAGCGUGUUUUGGACAUUGUAGAAUGGCAAAACAAACUUUUUUGUAAUAGACAAUUAAUAAAUUUUACUAACAUGCUUUAGCUCUACACUUA